Molecule: long non-coding RNA, 4225 nt
Filed under: Homo sapiens (human)
Lineage: Eukaryota; Metazoa; Chordata; Mammalia; Primates; Hominidae
Source: RNAcentral
GGCCUAGCCACCGGUGACGGCGGGACUCUCUGGGAGGCCGGCGGUCCUCGGGUGUAGAGGGAGACAGCUGCCCGGGGGCACGGGCGAGCACCUCUGGGGGUCCCGGAUCCUAGACCCGCGGCCCCGGGGUGGCGGUGACGCCUGGAGUCGUGCGGGCUUGGCUGGGCCGGGCUCUUGGGGCAGCCAGGUGCCGCUGCUGGCGUCUAGGCCACACCACCCUGAACGCGCCGGCUCGCCUCUGAUCUGUUGAAGCUAAGCAGGGUCGGGACUGUUUAGUACUUGGAUGGGAUUCCGCCUGGUAAUAGCGGUACCGUAGGCUUUUGGCUUCCCGCUCCCUCCCUCUUUCCUCCUUUUGUCUCCGUGCUUCCCAACUGCCCCCCGCCUCUGCUCCCGGUUGACCGCCCCCGCGCCCCAGCAGAAGCCCAGGUCCUCCUCCUGAAGAUCCGCCACUGCAGCACCGCCAGGCAGCAGCAUCCCACCUCUUCCGACUCGCGGCAGCCCCACCCAACCCGGGCGGGACGGGACCAACCCCGAGGGUGCAGGCGCGGGUUCCCUGAGGUCCCGGGUGUCUUCACGCUCCCCGGACUCCCAGGCAAUUGUAUUCAUUCAUUCAGCGUCACUGCAACCGUCCAAGCCGGUGGAAGGGGCGAGCAGGGGCAGCGGGUGCCACAGACCCCAGCCAAGACCUCCGCUCCAGAACCCGAGGGCUGCUUUCCCCAGAGGAAGGACAUUUUCUUCGCCAGCCACGAGGAAAACCGUCCCUGUGCACCCUGUUUCCCAAUGCCACCGACUUCGUGUAAACUCCAGUCCGGAGGACAGGAGAGAGACCCAGGCCUCGCCCCGUGGACAGGCUCGGCGCCACGGCUCCCGCCAGACACAGGAGCACACUCUACAAAUCUCGGGGCCCAUCGCAUCAAGGAGACAGAAAGAAGCAAACGAAGGACCUUAUGAAACACACCCCCAAAGCAACCAACCAAUCCAAGAAAAAAAAACACGUCUCAGGGCUCCAUUGGUUUUCCUGGCUGGGGGGCCCUGACCCCCUGUUCUAGCCCGGCCCAAGAACCCUGCACCCCACCCCGGCCUGCUGAAAGGUGCCCUGUCUACCUGAGCAGAGCCUCCCUCUCCAAGGCUCUGUCGCUGUCGCUCCACAACUCCCUCACCCUCUCCCUUUCUCUACUUCCCCCUCCACCUCGUGCUCUACUGUGGUGCUCUCUCUUCCCCCCUCUCUCUCUCCUCCCCCCUUUUCUAUCUCUCUCUCUCUCUCUAUCGCUGUCUCUCUCUCUCCCUCUGGUUCUAUUUCUCCAUCCCUCUCUCCUUUGCUUUCCUUCUGUAGCAGGAGGAGCUGCAGACAAAACCCCUCAGACACCGAGUUGUAGAAGGAAGGGCUUUAUUCAGCUGGGAGCAUCAGCAGACUCACGUCUCCAAAAACUGAGCUCUCCUAGUGAGCAAUUCCUGUCCCUCUUAAGGGCUUACAACUCUAAGGGGGUCCGCGUGAGAGGGUCGUGAUGGAUUGAGGAAGCAGAGGGUACGUGACUGGGGGCUGCAUGCACAGACAACGAGAGCGAAACCACAGAGAAAAGAAACAUCCCGUGCAUCACGGCCUGACAAUGGAUUCCUGUUUCCUGUACAAUGUGGAGUCUCCAAUAUAGCCUGUUUGAAAACUGGAAAGGAGAGCACCGACACGAUGCUGGUCUUCCACGCAUUCCUGGAAGUUUCUGGGGCCCCACAGAGCUCGCGAAACAAACAGUCAACAUGGUCACGCUUUCGGGGGGCAGAAACUUGAGCAACAGGCACCUUUACAGAGGGCAAAGAAACGUGGAAUCCAGAAUCACGCUUCAGUUGGCCUGGGUGUGACUCCUGUGUGGAUGGGACUAUCUGCCUCGAGCUCUGUUGCAGGGCUCAACGUGGGGAUAUGUCAUCUGUGAACCAUGUGGAUGAAAAACAGACAACUACCUGAGUCUCGGCUCAUUGCUCUCUGGGGAAUUCGCUCAUUCCUUCGGAAACGGAAUUGGUCUGAAUUGCUCCGGGAUGAAGUAACCCAGGCUGGUGAUCCAGAGGGCCGCUGAGCGCCCCGCCGGCCAACGGGGCUGUGGGCCCAGCACUCAGCCUGUACUGGGCACCCAACAUAUUCCCGGAGUUCUGGGUCCUGUUGGUUCUGGAGGCAUAAGACAUUUUUUGUCUCUGCCUUCUGUUCUCUGUUUCUUGCUCCUUUUGUCUCUCCGUCCAUCCUUCCAUCUGUUCUACCCUCCCUCCCCUGGCUUUUUCCUCCCUUUCUCCCUCCCUCCCUCUUUCUCUCCCUUCCGGGGUCCCUCCUUCCACCCAUCCUUGCCUAGCUCCAUCCUUCCAUCUCACUCUGUCUCUGUUCCUGUCCUCAUCUCUGCCUGCCUUCCCUCUUGCCUGGAAAGGGCAGCACCCUGGUUUGCGCGAGGUCUCGGGUCUUUAUUUAGUUGUAAGGCGCUCUAUGGUGCUGGCGAGGAGGCUGGCGGGACACGGGUUGGCAAGUGAUGGUGAGCGAAGAGGCGGAGGAGUUGAGCCACAGAAAGGAGAACUGGCCUGGAUUCUGCCCCGGCCCAGUGUUUCGCGGACUGAGGUCUCCGCCAACCCGAUUGAAGAACGCGGGGGGGAAAGGGAGGAGAGCUCCGCCUGGGCUAGUUAGAAGACUAGGCUGCUGCCUGGAAACCCGCGCAUGCGCAGUAGACAGCCCACCUCCCUGUACCUGGACCGGCCCUGGGAUCCCCGGGAUGCUCAGGAAUGCUUUCUUUUCAUUGUUGACAGCCCUACUCUGUGUGGAGUCUCUCGCUGGACCUGGAACUCAGGGAUCCUAGGGAGGUCAGCUGGAAGGGAAGACACGCCUCUCCAUACCAAGCCUGAGGUUCACUGCAAAAGAGAGGCCGCCGCCCUGCCCCCACCCUGCCCCCACCCUGCCCCAAACCCGCCCCAACCUGCUCCUCCAGCAGAGCCCUGUGUUCUUCCUGUCUGAGGAGUGGUUCCAGCAAAGCGGGCUCUUCCACGUCCUUCAGCUCCCCCAGUGGCGCCGGAUCUAGGAAAGGUUGUGCCUUUUGCUGAAACUCUGGGGUUGACAGGAGCUCAUCUAACAGGCUGGAGGUGAGUGCAGACGAGAGCCCCGGCUCCUGGAGCGGUUGGGAGGUGCCCGGUUGGCUGGCAUCUGCGCUUGACGCGGAGGCCUCCGGGGUCACGAGCUCGGGAGGUGAAGGUGCCCCGUCUUCGGGUUCCCAUGCCGCCCUGGCGACCUGGGGCUCCAGCCCCACCACGGACUCCGGUGGGACGUGGGUGGUGCAAGCACACCUUUCCCCUGUGACUCAGCUUGAGGGGCCCCAAGCUGUCCCACUGAGCACGCGCCCAGCAGGCCGUCGCGCUGUGGGUUCUGGUCUUCCUGUCAUUUGUUGGGGUUCGGAGGCCACCAGGGAGUCUGAGGAUGGGAGAGCCCCAGUUUCGGAGGGAGGGGCCAGGACAGUGAACACAAAGCCCCGCAUGCUCGGGCAGGUUGGGAGAGUCCUUCUGCCUGUGCAGCCUGGCUGGGCUGGAGCAGGGGGAUGACCCUUGCUUCCUGGCUCACGAAAGCCCCCUGUGGGAGAGCCCCAGGAGCGCAGGGCAUGUGGGGUGCAGGAAGCGACGUUCCCCACGCCCCGGUGUAGGUGAACCCGAUAGAGGAGGGAGGAGGGUGACACCCACCAGGGGUGCUAAUUAGUAACCACAGUGGCCUCAAAGAACUCAAAUGAAAGGAAGACUUGCAAGUCUCUCACUUUAAGUCCAGAGCUAGAAAUGAUUAAGCUUAGUGAAGAUGUAGAAUUUUCAUAGCUAGAGAGAAGUCAACACUUGGCUUCAGAACUUCAAAGGAUGGGCUGACUCUCUUUGAGGACCACUGCAGCUGGUGACUUUAGGUUACAGCCAGUGCUCAUUGACCACUCUGAAAAUCUCAGGGCCCUUAAGAAUUAUGCAAAAUCUAUUCUUUCUGUGCUCUAGAAAUGGAACAUCACUGUCUGGGUGACAGCACAUCUGUUAAUAGCAUGGUUUACUGAAUAUUUUAAUCCCACUAUUGAGACCUACUGCUCAGAAAAAAAAAAAAAACGAUUCUUUUAAAAAGAUUGUUGGUUGGCCAGGCAUAGUGGCUCAUACUUGUAAUCCCUGCACUUUGGGAGGCUGAGGAUCACCUGAGGUCAGGAGUUCAAGACCAGCCUGGCCAAAAUGAUGAAACCCCAUCUCU